CCUGGUUGAUCCUGCCAGUAGCAUAUGCUUGUCUCAAAGAUUAAGCCAUGCAUGUCUAAGUGAAUGGCUCAUUAAAUCAGUUGUGGUUCCUUUGAUCGCUAGCUCCUCUCCUACUUGGAUAACUGUGGUAAUUCUGGAGCUAAUACAUGCCGAUGGGGGCUGACCCCCCCUCGUGGGGGUGAUGUGUGCAUUUAUCAGAUCAAAACAAACCCAGUCAGCCUCCCCCUGGCCCCGGCCAGGGGGCGGGCGCCGGUGGCUUUGGUGACUCUAGAUAACCUCGGGCUGAUCGCACACCCACCCCCCGUGGUGGCGACGACCCAUUUGAAUGUCUGCCCUAUCAACUUUCGAUGGUAGUCUCUGUGCCUACCAUGGUGACCACGGGUGACGGGAAUCAGGGUUCAAUUCUGGAGAAGGGGCCUGAGAAACGGCUACCACAUCCAAGGAAGGCAGCAGGCGAGCAAAUUACCCACUCCCGACCCGGGGAGGUAGUGAUGAAAAAUAACAAUACAGGACCCUUUUGAGGUCCUUUAAUUGGAAUGAGUCCACUUUAAAUCCUUUAACAAGGAUCCAUUGGAGGGCAAGUCUGGUGCCAGCAGCCGCGGUAAUUCCAGCUCCAAUAGCGUAUAUUAAAGUUGCUGCAGUUAAAAAGCUCCUAGUUGGAUCUUGGGAGCGGGCGGGAAGUCCGCCUUGAGGCGAGGUGAGCCACCACCUGUCCCCACCCCUUGCCUCUAGGCGCCCCCUCGAUGCUCUUAGCUGAGUGUCCCGCGGGGCCUGAAGUGUUUACUUUGAAAAAAUUAGGGUGUUCAAAGCGGGCCGAGCCGCCUGGAUACUGCAGCUAGGGAUAAUGGAAUAGGACUGUGGUUCUAUUUGGUUGGUUUUCGGAACUGAGGCCUUGAUUAAGAGGGAUGGCCAGGGGCAUUCGUAUUGCGCCGCUAGAGGUGAAAUUCUUGGACAGGCGCAAAGCGUCUGAGCGAAAGCAUUUGCCAAGAAUGUUUUCAUUAAUCAAGAACGAAAGUCGGAGGUUCGAAGACGAUCAGAUACCGUCAUAGUUCCGACCAUAAACGAUGCCAACUGGCGAUGCAGCGGCUUAUUCCCAUGACCCGCCGGGCAGCUUCCGGGAAACCAAAGCCUUUGGGUUCCGGGGGGGAGUAUGGUUGCAAAGCUGAAACUUAAAGGAAAUGACAGAGGGGCACCACCAGGAGUGGAGCCUGUGGCUUAAUUUGAUUCAACACGGGAAACCUCACCCCACCCCAGACAUGGACAAGAUUGACAGAUUGAUAGCUCUUUCUCGAUUCCGUGGGUAGUGGUGCAUGGCCGUUCUUAGUUGGUGGAGCGAUUUGUCUGGUUAAUUCUGAUAACAAAUGAGACUCUGGCAUGCUAACUAGUUACGCGACCCCCGAGUGGUCGGUGUCCCCCAACUUCUUAGAGGGACAAGUGGCGUUCAGCCACCAGAGAUUGAGCAAUAACAGGUCUGUGAUGCCCUUAGAUGUCCGGGGCUGCACGCACGCUACACUGACUGGCUCAGUGUGUGCCUACCCAACAAUGGCAGGCGCGGGUAACCCGUUGAACUCCAUUCGUGUUGGGGAUCAGGGAUUGCAAUUAUUCCCCAUGAACGAGGAAUUCCCACUAAGUGAGGGUCAUAAGCUUGUGUUGAUUAAGUCCCUGCCCUUUGUACACACCGCCCAUCGCUACUACCGAUUGCAUGGUUUAGUGAGGCCCUCGGAUCGGCCCCACCGGGGUCGGCCCACGGCCCUGGUGGAGUGCUGAGAAGAUGGUUGAAUUUGACUAUCUAGAGGAAGUAAAAGUAACAAGGUUUCCGUAGGUGAACCUGCGGAAG
RNAcentral lists this ribosomal RNA (1837 nucleotides) under Ursus americanus (American black bear). RNAcentral's name for it is "SSU rRNA". It matches the Rfam family "Eukaryotic small subunit ribosomal RNA". The record is from RNAcentral. Lineage: Eukaryota; Metazoa; Chordata; Mammalia; Carnivora; Ursidae.